ACGCCGGCUGCGGGAUCUCCCCAGGACGGGAGGCUGGACAGCUGGGAAAGACGAUCGCUGUCUGAUAUCUCGGGGUUUCUAACGAUGUGGCUGGUGGCAGUGGGACUGACCUGCUCGGCUGUAGGUUGCGCUGCUCAGGAGGGAGUAAUCAAGGAAGGUGAAACCACUGGGCAGAUACUGGAGAAGAGUCCUGUGCUCAUCCUGCUCAUGAUCUGGGGCCAGAACACAAAUACACUGAGUGUAUUGAUUGUGUGAAAUGCCCAUCAGCUAGUGAAAUUGGGAUGGCCAAGAAAAUCUUUCACUGACCAGGGGGUGUCUUUAAAUACCCAGCACUUGGUGUAGUCCACUGCCAUAAGGAAAAGAAACUAUCAUGGACCCAGAAAAGGACAGAUGCUAUAGAUCAUGAACUGAGUGUGGCAACUGGCUUAGCAUCAGCAUCCACGUGGAGGCUGAACACAGCUGUCUGUAGACUGGCUGCAGUACAAGGGAAGAGAGAAUUGGGGCACCUGCAAUGCAACUGUGCUGUCUCUGAACCAAGGCAAGGGAACGCAGUGAACCAACGUGAAGCAUCCAGGCCCCAUGCAAUACAUUGGUGGCAGAAUCCAAGGUCUGGCUUGUGGCAUUUGAAAUGGCAGGCAUGUUCCCAGGUGACCUGUGGGGUGUAUGUGUGUAGGUGCCAGUUUUGCUCAUGAUGCAAGAGGUGGCAUUUCUGGGAGAACUGGAAUAUG
RNAcentral lists this long non-coding RNA (728 nucleotides) under Apteryx owenii (little spotted kiwi). RNAcentral describes it as "lncRNA (ENSAOWG00000003871.1)". Lineage: Eukaryota; Metazoa; Chordata; Aves; Apterygiformes; Apterygidae. The record is from RNAcentral.